This 331-nucleotide ribosomal RNA is filed under the name Salmonella enterica subsp. enterica serovar Derby. RNAcentral describes it as "partial 23S ribosomal RNA". It matches the Rfam family "Bacterial large subunit ribosomal RNA", at positions 1093 to 1338 of the family's 2925-position model. The record is from RNAcentral. Lineage: Bacteria; Pseudomonadati; Pseudomonadota; Gammaproteobacteria; Enterobacterales; Enterobacteriaceae.
CCAGGAUGUUGGCUUAGAAGCAGCCAUCAUUUAAAGAAAGCGUAAUAGCUCACUGGUCGAGUCGGCCUGCGCGGAAGAUGUAACGGGGCUAAACCAUGCACCGAAGCUGCGGCAGCGAACGUAUCACCCAAGACAACUUUACGGAGUUGACGAUUGACGGAGCGAAGCGACGUCAAAGCGUUCAUUAAAGUCGAGUUGGCUUAGGGAUACGUUCGUUGGGUAGGGGAGCGUUCUGUAAGCCUGUGAAGGUGGCCUGUGAGGGAUGCUGGAGGUAUCAGAAGUGCGAAUGCUGACAUAAGUAACGAUAAAGCGGGUGAAAAGCCCGCUCGCC